Long non-coding RNA from Gekko japonicus, 498 nucleotides. RefSeq lists it as uncharacterized. The transcript has 3 exons. NCBI's taxonomy places the organism in Eukaryota, Metazoa, Chordata, Lepidosauria, Squamata, Gekkonidae. The record is from RefSeq and is a predicted model, not a curated record.
GUCCGGAGAGAUUUGAGUGGAGCGUCCGAUUCGCCUCCCCUCACCCGCUGCGGGCGCUAUGGAGCCGGGAGCCUGAGGGCGAAACUGACGCCUUUCCCCCAGACAUGUUAGCGGCUCCCCUCGGUGCAGGUGCAGACUUCUCUGGAGCAUAAAGGCACUAUGUACUCAGAGUGGAGGUCCCUACACCUUGUAAUUCAAAAUGAUAAGGGCCACACCAGUGUACUUCACAGCUAUCCUGACAGUGUGGGGAGAGAGGUGGCAAACGUCGUUGUGCGUCCCCUUGGUCAAGCUUUGAAUGCUCCACUACCAGUUGAGAGUGUACUGAAAACUGACAAAGAAGUAAAAUGGACCAUGGAGGUAGUUUGUUAUGGCCUUACACUGCCUUUAGAUGGUGACACGGUAAAGUACUGUGUUGAUGUUUAUACAGACUGGAUUAUGGCUCUGGUCUUACCAAAGGAUUCCAUUCCUGCACCCAUUGUGAAAGAGCCAAAUCUUUAU